GAAGAAGUAACCAUUGGCAUCGCAAAAGUUCAUUCCUCUUUAUCCUUUUCUUAGGGUGCAAUUGACAAAUCCCAAACAUUCCUGCUUAAAUACAAUAUAAUAAGCUCUUUCCCUAUCAGCAGAAGUAGAUUAUUAGAAUGCUUCUACAUAAGAUACCCUAGUUUAUGUCGGACAUCCUUUGUCCGAAAAAUGGCCCGACAAGUCCUAUUUUCUAGCAGAAUGGUCAGCACCAGAAGCAUGAUUGCGAUUCAAGUAGCGCACAACAGCGUCUUCAGUCCAAGACUGAUUGUAGAAUUCAGAACGCCUCUCCAUUUCUGAAUCACGGGUCGAAUCAUCAGAAACAAGCUUAAGAUCCCUGGCUUGAGAUGCAACUAAUGCAUUAACAAAAUCGGUAGGUGACUGACUAAAUCCCAGGAAGAAAGCUCGCCUUCUCUGAUGUUCAUGGAUUUGCUUUAGAGCGGUGGAAAUAGCUUCAUCGUAUGCAUCAAUCUCCUUGUUCUUAUCUAAAUCAGAUAAGAAUGUGGAGAAUUCCUUCUGCAAUGUGAAGGGAACAUCAACCAGUACAUCAUAACAAGUGUUCCCAGCUGGGCUACUUCCAGAUAGCUUAAUCCUGUGCUCCAGGUGAAUAGGUUGAGGGGCAGUCAGAUGCGGAUGAAUCUUUUGGGAAACCAGGGAAAAUUUCAACUUUUCUUCUCCAAAAAUCUUCCUUAGAGGAGGAUCACAAGUGAACGAGGAGGUGUCAUGGCAUAUCUGUAGCUUCUUAGUUUUUAUGUAGUACCAAAGAGCAGCUAAAACUUUAGCUCGUGUCUCAACCUCAAUGCCAAGAACUUCUUGCAAUGCCGGGGAUAGUUUAAAUUUCUCAGGCAUAUAAUUCAUCUCCAGUCUGAUGAUUGCAGUAAGCUCCUUAUCCCCUUUCCUCUUAAUCUCAAAACCCUCGUGAAGAGCUGGUGAUCGAGAACUAUCCCACAAAAUUACAUGGUUUUCAGGAUAUAGACUUUGAUCCAAGUAAACAGUAACUUUCUUGAAGAAAGAUGAGAACUUGGGGCAAGCAACACCCAAUUUCUGCUCCCUUUCAGAUGCUUGAGAACCCGACCCACCCCCCAAGAUCCUUCCGAUAAUCUUAAGAGACCAUGAAGCUGGCUCAGCCGAAUCGCUGUCCGGAUUAGCUGGUGUCUGAUUCGCAAAAGUAUUGAAUACAUAAAUUCUGAGAGUUCUCUGGAAACGCGGAGGACUCUUAAGGGAUUCCAACAUGUCAAUCUUCUUUCUAGAAAGAAGAGCAUCUACACGACCCUCGAAUUCAAGCAACUGAGAGUAAAGUGCUGACUCGGGCAAACUCGC
RNAcentral lists this unclassified non-coding RNA (1338 nucleotides) under Hevea brasiliensis (rubber tree). The record is from RNAcentral. Lineage: Eukaryota; Viridiplantae; Streptophyta; Magnoliopsida; Malpighiales; Euphorbiaceae.